Molecule: ribosomal RNA, 1368 nt
Filed under: metagenome
Description: SSU rRNA
Rfam family: Eukaryotic small subunit ribosomal RNA
Source: RNAcentral
CCUGGUUGAUUCUGCCAGUAGUCAUAUGCUUGUCUCAAAGAUUAAGCCAUGCAUGUCUAAGUAUAAGCAAUCAUACUGUGAAACUGCGAAUGGCUCAUUAAAUCAGUUAUAGUUUAUUUGAUAGUACCUUUACCUGGAUAACUGUGGUAAUUCUAGAGCUAAUACAUGCUAAAAACCCCGACUUCGGGAGGGGUGUAUUUAUUAGAUAAAAAACCAAUGCCCUCCGGGGCUCCUUGGUGAUUCAUGAUAACUUAACGAAUCGCAUGGCCUUGCGCCGGCGAUGGUUCAUUCAAAUUUCUGCCCUAUCAACUUUCGAUGGUAAGGUAUUGGCUUACCAUGGUUUCAACGGGUAACGGGGAAUUAGGGUUCUAUUCCGGAGAGGGAGCCUGAGAAACGGCUACCACAUCCAAGGAAGGCAGCAGGCGCGCAAAUUACCCAAUCCCAAUACGGGGAGGUAGUGACAAUAAAUACUGAUACGGGGCUCUUUCGGGUCUCGUAAUUGGAAUGAGUACAAUCUAAAUCCCUUAACGAGGAACAAUUGGAGGGCAAGUCUGGUGCCAGCAGCCGCGGUAAUUCCAGCUCCAAUAGCGUAUAUUAAAGUUGUUGCCGUUAAAAAGCUCGUAGUUGAACCUUGGACCUGGCUGAUCUGUCCUCCUAAUCGAGCGUACGGAUUCGGUCGGGUCUUUCCUUCUGGGGAACCCUAUGCCCUUCACUGGGGGUAGCGGGGAACCAGGACUUUUACCUUGAAAAAAUUAGAGUGUUCAAAGCAGGCCUUUGCUCGAGUACAUUAGCAUGGAAUAAUAGAAUAGGACAUCGGUUCUAUUUUGUUGGUUUCUAGGACCGCUGUAAUGAUUAAUAGGGAUAGUCGGGGGCGUCCGUAUUCAAUUGUCAGAGGUGAAAUUCUUGGAUUUAUUGAAGACGAACUACUGCAAAAGCAUUCGCCAACGAUGUUUUCAUUAAUCAGUGAACGAAAGUUAGGGGAUCGAAGACGAUCAGAUACCGUCGUAGUCUUAACCAUAAACUAUGCCGACUAGGGAUCGGACGGUGGUUUUUUUAUGCCCCGUUCGGCACCUUACGAGAAAUCAAAGUGUUUGGGCUCGGGGGGGAGUAUGGUCGCAAGGCUGAAACUUAAAGAAAUUGACGGAAGGGCACCACAAGGCGUGGAGCCUGCGGCUUAAUUUGACCCAACACGGGGAAACUCACCACGUCCAGACAUGCUUAGGAUUGACAGAUUGAUAGCUCUUUCUUGAUUGUAUGGGUGGUGGUGCAUGGCCGUUCUUAGUUGGUGGAGUGAUUUGUCUGCUUAAUUGCGAUAACGAACGAGACCUUGACCUGCUAAAUAGCCCGGCUGACUUUUGUCGGCCGCCA